This 705-nucleotide long non-coding RNA is filed under the name Dermacentor andersoni. Its description in RNAcentral is "uncharacterized LOC126530761". The record is from RNAcentral. Lineage: Eukaryota; Metazoa; Arthropoda; Arachnida; Ixodida; Ixodidae.
CGGCAGUAAAGUGGUGAACAGUUCAUCGUUUCUCAUGAUUUGGACUCUUCACAUGGGCUGCUGCGUGCAUGGUUGUCUGCUGGGAGCUUUAAAUGUGACUGACGAGUCCCCUGGCUCACAGGAUGAAUCAAAAUAUGUUGUUUUUUAGAGUAGAUUAUUGCAGCUAUCCUCAAGAUGCAAGCAUCACAACUCGGCACGGCACAUCACUCGAAGUCGUAGCUCUCUGCCCCAACCAGCACGAAUUUGUUUGGCACAUUCAACCCCAAAUUGGACCAUUUGCGGCUGGGAAUGUGCUUCUUGCAGCAGAAAUUCUUUUCUGGCCUGAACCCAGCGAAGUCUUUGCGGAUGCUGUCAUCGGUAAAGGUGGCUACCAUGUCAAAGAGGACUUUCUUCUGUCAUCAGCAGAACCUGUUGAUUCCGUCUGUGCAGAAAGUGUUAAGAGUCAUGUGUGCCAUCCUGUCUGCUUUCCACCGUUAUAUUAUAAAUGUCACGGGUAGAAAAAUUGGUUUAUUUCACUGACUGUAAAGUGCAGUACAGGUUAUUAUUGCAUCGCAGUGGACAUGAACACAAAUUUAAACUGCCUGAGUUGCAAAGACCCAUUACCUCCAGUAACUUCCCUCUGCCACUGAUGCUGCUAAAGCUGCUGGUAGUGACACUGUCUGGAAGAAUUAGCUGUGGCUACUGUAUUAAAGUGCUGUUUCUAAA